Selaginella moellendorffii is the source of this 2102-nucleotide RNA transcript. It is a transcript of the gene named pentatricopeptide repeat-containing protein At1g60770, with no coding region annotated. The record is from RefSeq and is a predicted model, not a curated record. The transcript is spliced from 4 exons. NCBI's taxonomy places the organism in Eukaryota, Viridiplantae, Streptophyta, Lycopodiopsida, Selaginellales, Selaginellaceae.
UUAUGUCGAUAUUGUAGGGCUAAUGCGAGAUGGCGAUUGCAAUGGCGCUGUCAAGAAUGCCACCGCCGAUGAUCGGGCACGCGAUCGGCAAUGGACAAGCGGCAUGGCCUGGCAAAUGCUGUCAGCUGGAGGAAAGGCUGAUGAAUCUCGAGAGGCACCAGGUAAACAGAGUGGUGCCGGCAAUCAGGCAAUGGAUCCGGGAAGGAAAUAGUGUGACCAGCUGUGGCCUGGAUCGUGUAGUGCGGAGGCUUCGCUCCAGGAAGCGCUAUCUUCAAGCUCUCAUGGCACUGGACUGGGUUGCAAACGAGAAAGUGAUCCCAUUCGGCUACCACGAAACUCUCCAGCGCCUCGACCUUUGCUCGCGUUGUCACCACGUAACGAGGACACUUCUACUCUUUCGGAGGCUUCCAAAGCAGUGGAGGAGUGAGGACGCCUACUGCAUUCUUCUCGAACUGUACUACAAGAGGGACAUGCUGGAGGACGCGGAGAAGACAAUGCAAGAGCUGAGAGGGAUUGGGAUCAAAAGCUUGCAACCUUACCAUCUCAUGCUCUCGUUUUACAAGCUCCGGGGCAUGGAAAUGAGGUUUGAGCGUAUGGUGACGGAGAUCAAGGGCUCCGGGUUGGCACUCGAUCGCUCUUUCUAUACGAUUCUGCUGGCUGCUCGUGACAGCUUUGGAGGUGACAUGGUUGCUGUGGAAGACGUUCUAGCCGAGAUGGAAGGCAGAGGGUUGAAACUCGAUGCAGUGGGGUGCUUGGCGGUGGCUGGGAUUUAUCUCAGGAGUGGACUGCGCCACAAGUCGGAACGGGUCUUACAGAGGUUGGAAAAGUCACUGAAGUCAGGUGAGUUCAAGGACUCGAAUUCUAUACGAAGGAGGAUGCUGGCCAUGUUUGGGAAACUAGGAGACAGGGAUGCAGUUGACAGGAUUUGGCAUUCAAUAGAGCGCUCUGCAAGUACUACCGUGGAGGAUUUCAUCUUUGGCAUUGAAGCGUUUGGUAGAGUGGGAAAGAUGGACGAAGCCGAGGAUAUGUAUAUGCGAGUAGGAUGCAACAGCUGCAAUCCGAGGCUACACAAUGCCUUUCUCGCUGUCCUCGUGGAGCAGGGUGAUGUGAUUCGAGCCGUUGCUUUAGUGGAACGUAUGAAGGGUGUCAGAUGUCUUCUGAGCACGGUCACUUAUCAUCUUCUCAUCAAGGUCUACCUGAAGGCUGGCGAUGUGAGCCGAGCUACGCUCGCAUUCGAGAGCCUAAGAUCGGCUUUCGGGAAACUGGAGUGGCCGCGUCCUUCUUCAGAAACACUAGCGGUAAUGCUGGAGUUUUUCGUUGGAAUAGGAGACGUGCAGGCCAGUGAACGUCUUGUCAAGAAGUGGAUGGAAGAUGGCUUUCCCUUGAGUGCCGCGGUUUUCCACUCCCUUUUCAGGGUAUAUGCGAAAGGCGGAGCUGGUGUUGACAACUUUCCUGGACGAAUGCUCAGUGCUGGAGUUGAGCCAACUCGUGAGACGGAGCAGCUUUUGAGGCAAAUCUCGACGUUUUUGCGCGAGAACAGCAAAAAAGAUUUUCCUUUAUCCGAUCGCCGAGGUGAAACAAGUUCAUGCAGAUGGCUACGUACUAGGCACUUACUGUGUGUGCUGCUGCAGACGAAAGUGAGACGAGGAGAAGGAUGGCUUACUUUCUCGGUGGUGGAAAGCCUCCUGAUCUCGAUCGGUUUGAGAAUGUGAUCUACUUCUUCCAAGUCGCUCCCGCCCUCAAGACCGUCCAUGAGCUCCCAGCUGGCAGAGAGCUCUGAGGUGCCGCCUGUUUGGAUAGUAUGCAUCCCAUUGCAAGAUCAGUGGGCGAGUCCUUGUGCUGCCUGGCCUGCAAUUAUUUAUUCUCUGGCAAUGAUGGCAAGGUGGUAGAUUGUGGAGGUGGCACUCAUUGCAGAGGAGAUUCGGUUUGCAAGAAAGGAAUGGGUUUAGAUCCGAGUUAAGAGACCUACACUCAGAAUAUCUGGGGUGGAUUGGCGUGGAAGCCAUGGCAUGGAGAGAAAAUUCCGUCGAAUCGAAGAUUUGAUAACUGACAAAACAAGCCAAGUCCAGGAAUCGCUUGGGAUGAAAUUAUGUUCCUGAAAA